UCCGUGUUCACCACGGCAGUCUCAUUAGAGUGCCCAACUGAAUGUGGCAACUAAUGGCAAGGGUUGCGCUCGUUGCGGGACUUAACCCAACAUCUCACGACACGAGCUGACGACAGCCAUGCAGCACCUGUGUCCAGGUUCCCUUUCGGGCACCCCUCCAUCUCUGGAGGGUUCCUGGCAUGUCAAGGGUAGGUAAGGUUUUUCGCGUUGCAUCGAAUUAAUCCACAUAAUCCACCGCUUGUGCGGGUCCCCGUCAAUUCCUUUGAGUUUUAGCCUUGCGGCCGUACUCCCCAGGCGGGGCGCUUAAUGCGUUAGCUGCGGCACGGAGGACGUGGAAAGCCCCCCACACCUAGCGCCCAACGUUUACGGCGUGGACUAC
RNAcentral lists this unclassified non-coding RNA (379 nucleotides) under uncultured bacterium. RNAcentral's name for it is "contains 16S-23S intergenic spacer region". The record is from RNAcentral.